Molecule: transfer RNA, 64 nt
Filed under: Actinia tenebrosa (Australian red waratah sea anemone)
Lineage: Eukaryota; Metazoa; Cnidaria; Anthozoa; Actiniaria; Actiniidae
Description: tRNA-Lys
Rfam family: tRNA
About the family: Transfer RNA (tRNA) molecules are approximately 80 nucleotides in length. Their secondary structure includes four short double-helical elements and three loops (D, anti-codon, and T loops).
Source: RNAcentral
GCUCAGUCGGUAGAGCAUCAGACUUUUAAUCUGAGGGUCAAGGGUUCGAGUCCCUUAUCGGGCG